RNAcentral lists this long non-coding RNA (237 nucleotides) under Helianthus annuus (common sunflower). RNAcentral describes it as "sRNA HanXRQr2_Chr13g0600141". Lineage: Eukaryota; Viridiplantae; Streptophyta; Magnoliopsida; Asterales; Asteraceae. The record is from RNAcentral.
GUCUUGAAACCGUAUACACACAUACAAACACACACUUUGAAGAUUCAAACUUCAACUUUGAAGAUUAAAGCCACUUCCAAAUUUUCAUUGAAUAUUUGAAGAUCAAACCAUGGAGUUUUCAAGGAGAUGCAAGAUUUUUAUCAUAAAAACCAUCAUCAAAAACCCAUUUAUAAUCUUGAAAGGUACAUGAGUUCGGCUUCGGAGAAUUUUGGCUUGCGUUGUCGUGUGGUUGUGUGA